GGGGAUCUGCCCGAUAGAGGGGGAUAACCACUGGAAACGGUGGCUAAUACCGCAUAACGUCGCAAGACCAAAGAGGGGGACCUUCGGGCCUCUCACUAUUGGAUGAACCCAGAUGGGAUUAGCUAGUAGGCGGGGUAAUGGCCCACCUAGGCGACGAUCCCUAGCUGGUCUGAGAGGAUGACCAGCCACACUGGAACUGAGACACGGUCCAGACUCCUACGGGAGGCAGCAGUGGGGAAUAUUGC
Molecule: ribosomal RNA, 245 nt
Filed under: uncultured Pantoea sp.
Lineage: Bacteria; Pseudomonadati; Pseudomonadota; Gammaproteobacteria; Enterobacterales; Erwiniaceae
Description: partial 16S ribosomal RNA
Rfam family: Bacterial small subunit ribosomal RNA
Source: RNAcentral